AGGAGGGAAGGUGGGGAUGACGUCAAGUCAUCAUGGCCCUUAAGGCCUGGGCUACACACGUGCUACAAUGGUCGGUACAGAGGGUCGCCAAGCCGCGAGGUGGAGCUAAUCUCACAAAACCGAUCGUAGUCCGGAUCGCAGUCUGCAACUCGACUGCGUGAACUCGGAAUCGCUAGUAAUCGCGAAUCAGAAUGUCGCGGUGAAUACGUUCCCGGGCCUUGUACACACCGCCCAUCACACCAUGUGAGUGGGUUGCACCAGAAGUAG
This 267-nucleotide ribosomal RNA is filed under the name Pseudomonas putida. RNAcentral's name for it is "partial 16S ribosomal RNA". It matches the Rfam family "Bacterial small subunit ribosomal RNA", at positions 1163 to 1429 of the family's 1533-position model. Lineage: Bacteria; Pseudomonadati; Pseudomonadota; Gammaproteobacteria; Pseudomonadales; Pseudomonadaceae. The record is from RNAcentral.